This 520-nucleotide ribosomal RNA is filed under the name uncultured bacterium. Its description in RNAcentral is "bacterial SSU rRNA". It matches the Rfam family "Bacterial small subunit ribosomal RNA", at positions 8 to 518 of the family's 1533-position model. The record is from RNAcentral.
AGAGUUUGAUUAUGGCUCAGGAUGAACGCUGGCGGCGUGCCUAAUACAUGCUAGUCGAACGGGAACCUUCGGGUUCCAGUGGCGAACGGGUGAGUAACACGUAGGUAACCUGCCCACCGGAGGGGGGACAACAGCUGGAAACGGCUGCUGAUACCGCAUAGUCCGCUCUGCCGCAUGGCAGAGCGGGGAAAGGUCCUUAAGGGGACCGCCGGGGGAUGGACCUGCGGCGCAUUAGCUGGUGGCGGGGCAACGGCCCACCAAGGCGACGAUGCGUAGCCGACCUGAGAGGGUGGGACGGCCACACUGGGACUGAGACACGGCCCAGACUCCUGGCGGGAGGCAGCAGGUAGGGUAAUUUUCGGCAAUGGGGGGAACCCUGACCGAGCAACGCCGCGUGAGCGAAAGAAGGCCUUCGGGUCGUAAAGCUCUGUUAUGAAGGAAGAAUGACCCAUACAGGAAAUGGUAAGGGGAUGACGGUACUUCAUGAGGAAGCCACGGCUAACUACGUGCCAGCCGCCGC